Molecule: ribosomal RNA, 497 nt
Filed under: uncultured bacterium
Lineage: Bacteria
Description: partial 16S ribosomal RNA
Rfam family: Bacterial small subunit ribosomal RNA
Source: RNAcentral
GAUGAACGCUGGCGGCGUGCCUAAUACAUGCAAGUCGAGCGAACAGACGAGGAGCUUGCUCCUCUGACGUUAGCGGCGGACGGGUGAGUAACACGUGGAUAACCUACCUAUAAGACUGGGAUAACUUCGGGAAACCGGAGCUAAUACCGGAGAAUAUAUUGAACCGCAUGGUUCAAUAGUGAAAGACGGUUUUGCUGGCACUUAUAGAUGGAUCCGCGCCGCAUUAGCUAGUUGGUAAGGUAACGGCUUACCAAGGCAACGAUGCGUAGCCGACCUGAGAGGGUGAUCGGCCACACUGGAACUGAGACACGGUCCAGACUCCUACGGGAGGCAGCAGUAGGGAAUCUUCCGCAAUGGGCGAAAGCUUGACGGAGCAACGCCGCGUGAGUGAUGAAGGUCUUCGGAUCGUAAAACUCUGUUAUUAGGGAAGAACAAAUGUGUAAGUAACUAUGCACGUCUUGACGGUACCUAAUCAGAAAGCCACGGCUAACUACGUG